This is a non-coding RNA of Electrophorus electricus (electric eel), 490 nucleotides long. Lineage: Eukaryota; Metazoa; Chordata; Actinopteri; Gymnotiformes; Gymnotidae. The record is from RefSeq and is a predicted model, not a curated record.
GCAUGCAGCACUUGUACGCUAGCAAUUUAAUUUCUUCAGACUGGAAAUACGAUAAUGCUAACGUUUGUUGUCAGAAAUAUACUAGCUUCUCCUUUCGAUCGAGGGUAUAUUUUUCAGUCAUAGUUAUAACGCCGAAAGGUACUGUGAAAUCAUACGAAGUGAGUUUCAGAGUGAUGAUCCAAAUGUACGUGGUCCCCAGGGCACCCCUGAAAGUUCUAAUUAUGCUGUUGGUGAUCUAGACAUUGAAGCUGUGGACAGUCGAGAUAUCAAAGGCAUAAAGUAAGCAAUCAUCCAUGAUUCCAGAAAUGACUGACUUGGGGCAAACAUGGUUACACACCGCCAUCAGUGAGGUCUUGCCUGACCUUCCAGAGAUGAUGAAGGAUAUUCUAGAAGAGACCUAACAUUCCCUUGGGGUGGAGACAUGAUGAUUUUAAGUUUACCGAGGAAGCCGAUUUGCUGUCAGCAUUGAGGCCAAUUCAAGCCCGCAGAG